UUUUCUAGUAGGAUUCCUAGGCAUGGGCAGGCUCCUAGCUAUAGCAGUGCUGUCUGAACAGUGGUUCAGAGGGUUGGCGACAAAUUUGAAACGUCUGGAAUCACUGGGGUUUGGAUACGCAGAGAACCAAGUUGGCACAAAUAGCAGAAAAAAAGCCAGAAAACAAAGAAGAUGUAUAGAAGAUAUACGGAAUUCCAGUGAAUUGUAUUUUGGUGUCAGAUUGGUGUAUGCUGUUGAAAGUAAGUGCAUAAAUCUAUUUUAAUUGCUUGCAUUAAAAAAUUAAGUUUAAAAUCAUAAAUACUAUAGGUUGCAAACAACAAAAGACAAAGCAAAUAGUACAGUAAUAGAUAUACGCCCACAUAUAUACUGUAAAUCAAAUAUAUGCUACUAGACAGUAGAAAUCCAUUAUUUUUUUGAAAGUUAGUAAGUUUUUCCAAAGAGAUGUUGCGUUGCUGAGGCUAUUCUAGGCUAAUAGGAAGAGUAUUUUAAUUGUUCAGCAAUAAUCUCUUCAGUACUUGUGUCAUGACAGCAGAUUUCUGAAAUGUUACUGAGCCAAAGUCACUCUUAAUUCCUUUGAUGAGUGAACCAGUGAGUGAGAGCAAUUAUCCCCAAAUUUAGCUGUUCUUUUAUUCUUAAACUGAUGUAUAGUUCCCCAAAAUAUUAACUGAAUAGCUUCUAAACACUUCAAACUUCAGCCUUGCGAAACUGCUUGCAUGCUAUUCCGUUCAGCUAUGUUGCUCAGCAUUUGUGGUGUGCGAAGAACUGCCUGUGCCUAUUGUUUUUGUUCCCAGAUUAAAUCUCUGAAGGCUUUGGCAGUUUCAAACUCUGUUGAAGUCACUGGGAUCUGAAGAUGCUCACAACUUUGUAACCCUUUUAACAAACAACACCAUAAUAAUAAUAAUAAUUUUCAAAGGACUACCCACCGAAUACUGUAAGUAACAGUAGCAAAACCUUUUCAUUUUGUACAAACACCAAUGCUUCUGGGACACCAUUCCAUUCUCCAAAUGUACAUAUGUUUGAGCAAAGGGUUCCCAGAAACAAGCAACAAGAAUAUUGAGACCAUUGCUCAAUAACCACGGUUUUUAUUUUGCAAUAGUUAUUGAGAUCUGCAGGGGUUUUCCUGGGUUCAAAACUUGGCUGUUUUUAGUAGCAAUAUUUUCAGUUGUGUCAUAUGAAUUGUUUCAUUUUGUUAGAGCUGAAUAUUGUUAUUUGCCAUUUUGGAAUUGCUAGCUAUGUAUCUUGGAGCAAUGUAGUUGUAUGCUGUACAAAUAGCAAAAACCUAUAGCAAAAUACUGUGUAAUUUGAAUGUUGGCUGUACUCUCUGUGAGUCUCUUGGGUUUGUAUCACUAUGCAGGGAAUGUAUCUGAGCACCUUUGUUAUUUAGCCUGGUUGAUUGAACAUUAUGCACCCAGAUGCACUACUUUCAAAACUUAUUCUUGAAUGUUCAGGUGGAAAUUCUCUCUCAAGAGAUAUUUAUUUUAUUUUUUUUCAUAUAGAUAAUUGCCACUUAAGCCAGUUCUGUGGAAAUGACACAUGGAGAUUUUAAGAUGACCUUCACAUGUUUUACCGAAACUUAGCCUACAUAGGGUUUUGAGACACGAGUACAAUCAGAUUCUUCUUCUUGUACAGCUAAAGUAUAUAUGCUUUUUUCCAACAGGUUUGCAUAGCCUUCCAGAAAGAACUACUCUUCUUAAGCAGCAGGUAAGGAAAAUAACUUGGGUAAAAGAUUUGGGGAGGAACAGGAAAGGACAUUUAAUAUAUUUAAUCUUAUUAUACAUUUUUCUACAUUAAAGUCAACAGGCUGCAAAUAUAUUCUGCUACAAAGCUUUUUGUAAGAAAUAUCUCUAUAAGAAAAUACAUCUCAUUAAACAUUUCCUGUAAAUAAAUUAUCCCAAAUAACUACGGUUUGUAAGAGG
This 1916-nucleotide long non-coding RNA is filed under the name Anas platyrhynchos platyrhynchos (common mallard). Its description in RNAcentral is "lncRNA (ENSAPLG00000027858.1)". Lineage: Eukaryota; Metazoa; Chordata; Aves; Anseriformes; Anatidae. The record is from RNAcentral.